AAUAGUUCUAUGUCACAUCAGUAUUUUCAUUUUGAGUUUCAACAUUUUCAUCUUGAAAAAAAUCAAUUUCAAAUUAAAAUUCUUAAAUUCAAGAUAAAAUUACUGAUGUGUCAUAAAACUAUU
Molecule: non-coding RNA, 123 nt
Organism: Gossypium raimondii (Peruvian cotton)
Lineage: Eukaryota; Viridiplantae; Streptophyta; Magnoliopsida; Malvales; Malvaceae
Source: Rfam